RNAcentral lists this ribosomal RNA (1120 nucleotides) under Triticum aestivum (bread wheat). RNAcentral describes it as "partial small subunit ribosomal RNA". The record is from RNAcentral. Lineage: Eukaryota; Viridiplantae; Streptophyta; Magnoliopsida; Poales; Poaceae.
AGGACCCCGAACCCGCACCACUCUGCUCGAUUCCCUUCCCUACUCGACGGCGCCGACGAUUAGAGUGGCCGCCGCAGCCCCUCACGGCGCCGGAGGUCACCGGCGCAACCCCGACGAGUCUUCCUCGUCCGAAGAAGACGCGAUGACGACGGGGUCUGGGCGAGCACCCUCUGGCGCGACGCUAGCGAGGCCGAGGCUCUCCGGAGCCCACGAACCGCGGCGACGGCUGGGGCGGCGGUCGAUGGCGGUGACGACACGCCCGAAGAGACGCCCAAAGCGCCGUGUCACGCGGCUGCUCGAGCCCGCUGCCGUCUCCCGCUGAAUCGGGGCGUUGGCGUUGACGCCCUCCAUGCCGGCUCCAAGGCGGACGACUUCGGAGGCGCCGGUCGGCGCGGAGACGAAGGCGAGCGCCUCCUCCUCGUUCACGAUGGCGCGCAUCGGCACAGGUAUGUAUCCGGGCGGGCCGGCGGUCUCGGCGGCGGGCGUUGGCGUCCACGGCGUGAGCCACGCGGCCCACGGAGGAGAGGUGGUGGAGGCGGAGACCCAGGGGGUGGUGCAGGCGCGGCUGCAGCCCCAUGCACCAUGGAGGCGCUCGGGCCGGCCACUAACCAGGGGUCGAACCCCAUGGGCGCCUGGCCACGGGCGCAGGGAGCACCGUUGUGGGCGCGUCCAGGGGCGAGGAGAGCACCGCGGGGGGCGCGUCCAGCGGCACGGUGGCAGCCAGGAGCACCACGCCAAGUGGCGCGGUGGCGGCCAGGAGCACCACGUCCAGCAGCGCGGUGGCGGCCAAAUCGACGGAUGGCUUGCAUCCGGCGACGGAAACGCUGGAGUCCACCCACUCCAUGGUAGCGACGACGGUAUCGACGACCAUCCUCGCGGAUCAGGCGGAGAAAAAAGGAAACGAGGUUACAUGCCCCUUUAUAUGUCCCGAAGAGACACGACGAUCCCUCGAGCGGGCGUCGGUUCUACGAGAGCGAAGGGAGGCAUCGGUUGCGGGACAAACCGCAACGACGGUUUUGGGCAAGGGGAGAUUUCCCCCUAAUUACAGAAUUAUUUUUAACAAAUAGCAUGCAAGCAUAUGGGUAAAAAUGGAUAUGCAAAUGGACAUGCAAGCAUAAGG